RNAcentral lists this ribosomal RNA (499 nucleotides) under Fusarium solani. RNAcentral describes it as "eukaryotic LSU rRNA". The stretch from base 170 to 323 matches the Rfam family "5.8S ribosomal RNA". The record is from RNAcentral. Lineage: Eukaryota; Fungi; Ascomycota; Sordariomycetes; Hypocreales; Nectriaceae.
ACCUGCGGAGGGAUCAUUACCGAGUUAUACAACUCAUCAACCCUGUGAACAUACCUAAAACGUUGCUUCGGCGGGAACAGACGGCCCUGUAACAACGGGCCGCCCCCGCCAGAGGACCCCUAACUCUGUUUUUAUAAUGUUUUUCUGAGUAAACAAGCAAAUAAAUUAAAACUUUCAACAACGGAUCUCUUGGCUCUGGCAUCGAUGAAGAACGCAGCGAAAUGCGAUAAGUAAUGUGAAUUGCAGAAUUCAGUGAAUCAUCGAAUCUUUGAACGCACAUUGCGCCCGCCAGUAUUCUGGCGGGCAUGCCUGUUCGAGCGUCAUUACAACCCUCAGGCCCCCGGGCCUGGCGUUGGGGAUCGGCGGAAGCCCCCUGUGGGCACACGCCGUCCCUCAAAUACAGUGGCGGUCCCGCCGCAGCUUCCAUUGCGUAGUAGCUAACACCUCGCAACUGGAGAGCGGCGCGGCCAUGCCGUAAAACACCCAACUUCUGAAUGUG